CUCCCUACGGGACGCAGCAGUGGGGGAUAUUGCACAAUGGGGGGAACCCUGAUGCAGCGACGCCGCGUGAGUGAAGAAGUAUCUCGGUAUGUAAAGCUCUAUCAGCAGGGAAGAAGCAAGACGGUACCUGACUAAGAAGCCCCGGCUAACUACGUGCCAGCAGCCGCGGUAAUACGUAGGGGGCGAGCGUUAUCCGGAUUUACUGGGUGUAAAGGGAGCGUGGACGGAGGAGCAAGUCUGAUGUGAAAAUCCGGGGCCCAACCCCGGAGCUGCAUUGGAAACUGUUUAUCUAGAGUGUCGGAGAG
Molecule: ribosomal RNA, 305 nt
Filed under: uncultured bacterium
Lineage: Bacteria
Description: bacterial SSU rRNA
Rfam family: Bacterial small subunit ribosomal RNA
Source: RNAcentral